This 407-nucleotide ribosomal RNA is filed under the name uncultured bacterium. Its description in RNAcentral is "bacterial SSU rRNA". It matches the Rfam family "Bacterial small subunit ribosomal RNA", at positions 355 to 776 of the family's 1533-position model. The record is from RNAcentral.
UGGGGAAUUUUCCGCAAUGGGCGAAAGCCUGACGGAGCAACGCCGCGUGGGUGAAGAAGGCCUUCGGGUUGUAAAGCCCUGUCUUAUGGGAAGAAGGAAGUGACGGUACCAUAGGAGGAAGCCACGGCUAACUACGUGCCAGCAGCCGCGGUAAUACGUAGGUGGCGAGCGUUGUCCGGAAUCACUGGGCGUAAAGGGCGCGUAGGCGGUCAAUUAAGUCAGGUGUGAAAACUUUGGGCUUAACCUGAAGAUUGCAUCUGAAACUGGUAGACUUGAGUGCAGGAGAGGGCAGUGGAAUUCCUAGUGUAGCGGUGAAAUGCGUAGAUAUUAGGAGGAACACCAGUGGCGAAGGCGGCUGCCUGGACUGUAACUGACGCUGAGGCGCGAAAGCGUGGGGAGCAAACAGG